This 100-nucleotide signal recognition particle RNA is filed under the name Clostridiales bacterium. RNAcentral describes it as "signal recognition particle sRNA small type". It matches the Rfam family "Bacterial small signal recognition particle RNA". Rfam says of the family: The signal recognition particle (SRP) is a universally conserved ribonucleoprotein involved in the co-translational targeting of proteins to membranes. Archaeal SRP consists of a 7S RNA and homologues of the eukaryotic SRP19 and SRP54 proteins. The record is from RNAcentral. RNAcentral also lists the same sequence under 1 other name. Lineage: Bacteria; Bacillati; Bacillota; Clostridia; Eubacteriales.
GAUCGGGUCUCGUGCAAUUCGAUCCCGUGAACCCUGUCAGGUCCGGAAGGAAGCAGCAGUAAGCGGAUUUUCGUUUGUGCCGCGAGGGUGCCUGCCCGGC